Molecule: transfer RNA, 72 nt
Filed under: Bos taurus (domestic cattle)
Lineage: Eukaryota; Metazoa; Chordata; Mammalia; Artiodactyla; Bovidae
Also listed under: 2 other names
Rfam family: tRNA
About the family: Transfer RNA (tRNA) molecules are approximately 80 nucleotides in length.
Source: Rfam by way of RNAcentral
UCCCUGGUGGCUAAGGUGGUAAAGCAUCUGCUUACAAUUCGGGAGACCCAGGUUCAAUCCCUGGUUUGGGAA